GACGAACGCUGGCGGCGUGCCUAAUACAUGCAAGUUGAGCGAUGAAGCUUGGUGCUUGCACCAAUUUGAAGAGCAGCGAACGGGUGAGUAACGCGUGGGGAAUCUGCCUUUGAGCGGGGGACAACAUUUGGCAACGAAUGCUAAUACCGCAUAACAACUUUAAACAUAAGUUUUAAGUUUGAAAGAUGCAAUUGCAUCACUCAAAGAUGAUCCCGCGUUGUAUUAGCUAGUUGGUGAGGUAAAGGCUCACCAAGGCGAUGAUACAUAGCCGACCUGAGAGGGUGAUCGGCCACAUUGGGACUGAGACACGGCCCAAACUCCUACGGGAGGCAGCAGUAGGGAAUCUUCGGCAAUGGACGAAAGUCUGACCGAGCAACGCCGCGUGAGUGAAGAAGGUUUUCGGAUCGUAAAACUCUGUUGGUAGAGAAGAACGUUGGUGAGAGUGGAAAGCUCAUCAAGUGACGGUAACUACCCAGAAAGGGACGGCUAACUACGUG
RNAcentral lists this ribosomal RNA (497 nucleotides) under uncultured bacterium. Its description in RNAcentral is "partial 16S ribosomal RNA". It matches the Rfam family "Bacterial small subunit ribosomal RNA", at positions 28 to 507 of the family's 1533-position model. The record is from RNAcentral.